Molecule: long non-coding RNA, 2316 nt
Filed under: Homo sapiens (human)
Lineage: Eukaryota; Metazoa; Chordata; Mammalia; Primates; Hominidae
Description: HSALNT0172973
Source: RNAcentral
CUAGGAUUGGAGAGGAGGAAAACGAAUUCUGGAGCAUUGGCUAAUUGCUGGGCAGUUAAGACUGGAUUUGAUGACUUCUUAAGGGGAAGAUAGAGGGGGAAAAUACAGACUUUCCUAUCAGGUUAGAUAGUCACAACAAUGAGAUAGUUUGUAUGAGUUCCAGUUUUUGAAUGAUGAAGCUGAAGAUCAGAAAGGUUAAGGAUUUUCCCAUGGUCACAUAGCUGCUAAGUAGCAGAGUAUGGAUUGGAAAUAUGGGUGUCAGACUCCGUAUACUACAUUUUUGAACCUGGCAUGCAAGGCUAUUCCAAAUUGAAUCACAACUUUCUUGUUACCCUCAAAACUCUCUCCUCCUCACCUUGACCUCAUCUGACAAUUGUCUGGGAACAUCCCGCUGCCUACUUAAGCCUUGGUGUUUUGAGGCAAAGGAAAGAAGAACGAAAGUAGAGGUGAGGAAAGGCAACAUAUGUUAUAACUAGGCCGGAUAUCUUUUUGUUCUCCGUCUUCAGCAAAUGCACGUGGAACCCUAGUGAUCACCAUUGAUGAAUACUUCUCUCCAGCAAUAUCCUUAACCUGAGUGGAUGAACCCUUAUUCCAAUUGGUUACUUAUGGCUUAUUUCCCUAGCCUUUACCCAACUCCUUGCAGGUCAGAACUCUCUGCCCUUCUAGAGAGCUUUAUUGGCCAGGACCAUGGAUGACCCAAUACUGCCUUUUGCUCCUGCAUGUUUUAUGUCUGUUUAAUGAAAAAUCUGUCUCAUCCUCUUGCUCCAGUGAAGUCUGAGAGUUCAGGUCUAUCCCAAUGCACCCCCUUCUACUUUGUUGCCAUAGACUACAUUGGCAUUCUCAGGCACAAAUCAGUUAGUGGUCCUCAGCAUUUCUCAAAUGCAGGAUACACAUUUUAAUCUCAUUAACGGUCCUAUGAUUACUUCUUUGCCUCAAUAAGUUUGAAGAGAGAGAAAUAUGCCAAAAAUGUUAUUAAAACUUUAUAAAAUAAGUAUUAAUGUAGGAAUGGUGGAAAAGAUUAUUUCUUUUCUCUCCAUUCAUUUUCCAUCUGUUGAAUAUUUUACAUUGAUUUUUAAAAUAAAAUUUUUAUUUUAGAAUAGUUGUAGAGUUACAGAAAAAUUGCAAAAAUAUUAGAGAGUUCCUUUAUACCCAACAACUAAUUUCUCCUAUUACUAUUUAUUUAUUUUAGUGUCUCACUAUUUUGCUCAGCCGGGACUUGAACCCUUGAACUCUAGUGAUUCUCCCACCUCAACCUCCUGAGAAUUUCCCCUAUUAUUGAGAUUUUAAAUUAUAUAGUAAAUUUGUUAAAAUUAAUGAACCCAAACUGAUACGUUACCAUUACCUAAAGUUCACACUUUAUUCAGAUUUUUUUACUUUUCACCCAGUGUCCUAUUUCUGUUCUAAGAUCCCAUCCAGGAUACCACAUUGCAUUUAGUUUGUUUUGUCUCAUGCUCCUACAGGCUGUGACAGUUUCCCUGAUUUUCCUUAUUUUUUGAUGACCUAGACAGUUUUGAGGAGCACUAGUCAGGUUUUAUGCAGAUUGUCACUCAAUUGAGAUAUGCCUAACGUUUUUGUCAUGAUUAGACUGUGGUAAUAUAUUUUGGGGAAGAAGACGACAGGGUAAAGUGUUAUUUUUAUCACAUCAUAUCAAGGGUAAAUACUCUCGAUGUGACUUAUUACUGUUGAUAUUUAUCUUAAUCAUCUGGCUGAAGUAGUGUUUUGUAGAUUUCUUUACUGUAAAGUUAUGGUUUUUUAACCUCCUUUUCAUAUUGUAUUAUUUGGAAGGAAGUCACAAUGCAUAGCUCACUCACUUAAAGUAGUUACACCCUCACAUCCUUGAAGAAAAAGUAACUACCUAAACUAUUGAAAUUAUUUUGCAUAUAAAAAUUGUCUUUUGUUCUUGAUUUAUUUAUUCAGUCAUUUGUUUAUAUCAGUAUAGACUCAUGGAUAUUUAUUUUAUACUUUGGGUUAUAUGAUGCUUUUUAUUCUCGGAAAAAAUAAAGUGCGAAAAACCAAGUAAAUAAAAAUAUUUCUAAUUUGGAUCAAAAUUGAAAUACACUAAUAAGCAGCUUAUAAUGCAUUUUGUAAGGACCUUCAAUAUGACUUUUUAAGUAAGUUAAAUUUAACUAAAUAUAAUUAUUGUCGUAAAAAAUUUUUUGAAUAACACCUAAUUACGCUAAAGGGAAGGACUAACAAAAUAACUUUAAAAAAUAUAUUUUAAACUAAACAGCUCUUGAACAUUGUACUUUGAUAUGCAUGCUUAUUCUAAAAAUAAAAUACCUAUAUGUAUAAAUUAUAAAUUAUUUUUAUAAUAAU